This 319-nucleotide long non-coding RNA is filed under the name Rosa chinensis. RNAcentral describes it as "sRNA RchiOBHm_Chr2g0100191". Lineage: Eukaryota; Viridiplantae; Streptophyta; Magnoliopsida; Rosales; Rosaceae. The record is from RNAcentral.
CGGCGUCAAUUCUCUCCCCGAUCUCCAACUCUGGCGCGGUUCGACCUCUUGCCCAGAUUCCGCUGCAACUCGCUGGUGAGCUCGACAGCGUCCAACCGCUGUCGCGCUGACAAUGAUGACCAGACGACGUCAUCGAUGGCCUCCUGUACGCCUCGCCGGCGUGGGUCGACUCUUGCCCAGAUUCCGCUACAGCUCGCCCAAGCUCAGCCCCGUCCAACCGCCGUCUCGUUGACAACGACGACCAUACGACGUCUUCGAUGGCCUCCUGGACACCUCGCCGUCUCCUUGGAGUCGCCGAUGACCUCCUGGACGCCGCCGG